RNAcentral lists this long non-coding RNA (329 nucleotides) under Homo sapiens (human). RNAcentral's name for it is "non-protein coding lnc-GNAL-2:1". Lineage: Eukaryota; Metazoa; Chordata; Mammalia; Primates; Hominidae. The record is from RNAcentral.
UAAAGAUACUAAAACACACCCAUGGAGCCAGAGGUGCCAAUUCACCAAUUAGAAUCACUCUAAGGAGCAGCAAGGUAAAAUCCCUGGAGAAGGUGUGUGCUGACUUGAUCAGAGGGGCAAAGGAAAAGAAUCUCAAAGUGAAAGGACCAGUUCAAAUGCCUACCAAGAAUCACUAAAAGAAAAACUCCCUGUGGUGAAUUCUAAGACACCGGAUCAUUUCCAGAUGAUAAUCUGCAAGUGACUCAUUGACUUGCACGGCCCUUCUGAGACCGUUAAGGAAUUUACUUCCAUGAAUAUUGGGAGGAAUCUGUGAGGCAUUCACAAAGCAG